RNAcentral lists this small nuclear RNA (306 nucleotides) under Meriones unguiculatus (Mongolian gerbil). RNAcentral describes it as "7SK RNA (ENSMUGG00000010182.1)". It matches the Rfam family "7SK RNA". From Rfam's summary of the family: 7SK was discovered as an abundant small nuclear RNA in the mid-70s but a possible function has only recently been suggested. Two independent studies have found that 7SK RNA binds the CDK9/cyclin T complex (known as elongation factor P-TEFb). P-TEFb activates transcription by phosphorylating the C-terminal domain of RNA polymerase II. Lineage: Eukaryota; Metazoa; Chordata; Mammalia; Rodentia; Muridae. The record is from RNAcentral.
GAAUGUGAGGUUGAUCUGGAUUUCUGUCACUUAUUGAUCCAAAGUUUAUUCGAUCGAUCUGCCUGGUCAGAGAGGUAGUCCACUGCUCUCUCACAGGCCUCUGUGGUCCCUCCUCAAGAACUUCCUGACAGGAGAAAGGAAGCCAGGUUUAGGUCAAGGCUGUGUGAGCAGUCGUACUCCCUGCCAGAACCUGCACACAAGCUCUCAGGGACCGUGCUUUGAGAACAGCGGGCUGCCUUGCAUCCUCAGAGCAGAGCCGCGGGGUUGUGAAAGAUCAAUGAAACACUCGUUGUUAGGUGCUUCCAU